AUGGAGUGGCUUCGACAAGUCUAACUCGGAGAUAUUCCAGUUGGAGGUUCCGGCCACCAUGCCAGUUGUGAAAGAGCGGAGCGGGCUUGACAGCGUUGAGAAGUUCUUGCGAUGGACAAUGGGCACAAAGUGAGGCCAUCCUACGUGCUGCAUGUAUAAAUUUUAGCUUCCCACUGUUUAAAUUUAUACAAGUUUGUGUUCAAGACAAGACGUACAACUACUCUAUAAACACGAAAAUAAUUACAAAAAUAUGACAGAUCAAAGGUAAUUAGGAUACAAAUAUAACUUGGGAGGUUUGUACAUGUUGUCUUGCUUCAAAGAUCCAACCCAUAUAUGUAAAUUGACCAAAAGAUAAGAACUUUUUGAUGGGGCUACGAGGUGGGAGAAAGGAAACUACAUAUGGCUUAGGAAUAAGACGGAUAAAGUUGAUAAACGAAGCGUAUUGAAGGCCAACUAUCGGAAGGAAAAUGAGAUGCAAACCAUCAACAGGAAGUCUUCGUACUCUUAGAUAUGAAAAGCAUGCAUGUUGCAGUCAGAUCGGAUUAAUUGAUAUUUCAGUUGAGUAAAAGAAAAAAUCAAUUGAGCAACAAAUUAUGAAUUAUGGUUAAAUUGCAAAUCAAAUGAACCAGUAAAAAAUAGGGCCAAAAUUUCACAGCUCAAACUUAAAAUAUCAACUCUUUUUCUAGCCCAAAUCCCAUAAAAACUGGUCCAAACCCUUCAAAUUUACUAAAUCCAACCCUACCCCCAAAUGUAAAACAAAGGCAGCCCUUAAUGUGUCGGAGUGUACCCCUGAACCAAAACAAAAUGCAAUAGCUUUCUAAUUUCUUUGGCCUUCGCUGGUUUCUUUUAAACCUUUGAACUGUCUAAAUUUAUUGAUUUUUGAGAUUUGUUUUUAUCAUUGUCUUUGUUCACUCUUUAUUCGUUGCACCUUCAACCCUUUGAAUACAACAAGAUAAAACUAGAGAGUGUUCCGAAACUUUGAGUUUGAAGAUUAAAGAAAACAUUAAGAUUCAAGAUUAGAGAAAAAAGAACAGAAAAAAAGAAAUUACCAUAAAAAAAAAACAAGGCUUGAUUGGUUGUCAUCAAGAUUGUUGUAUAGCCCAAAUUAUGCCCGGCCCAAAACCAAAUAAAACAAUUACAAAACCCAAACAGCAGGCCCAACUUCCACAUCAAAUGACCCAAACAAUAAAAAACCUAAAGCCCACCUAGCCCAACAAACUAAACAUUUUCAGCAGCCAAAAAACCCUAGUCACCAAGUUUUCAGCCGCCACUCCCUUUAGCCUUGGCCAUCACGCGCGCCACCACCACCGUUCGGGGCACCAACCACCGGCCUUCCAUGCGCCUGACACUCAUCUGUCACCUGCAAAGAAAGAUUCGCACGCAAGCAGUAAAAACGAGAAAGAAAAACGACAAAAAAUAGGAGUAAAUAAUCUUGUAAAUGGCUUUAAAAGCCACAAUCUCAUAUUUGAACAGGGGGUUUUUUUGUUUUAUUUUUGGUAGACAAAAAAGAAAUCUGAAAUACAAAGAAAAAAAGGGUUGCAGAAUAUUAAUCAAAAAUUUUCAAAGCAAAGAGAGGUUAGAUUCUUGAUUGCAAGUCUGAACGGAGUUAGAAUCCGAAUGGACCACCUUCCGUCGGCCACCGUUUGCGGUGGCUACAUGGUGGCUUGGGUUUGUCUUCUUUGGGUUUGAAUGGAUGAAAGCGGCUAGGGUUAAUAUCAAAAAGGGGAAGGGUUGAUUGAUCUGUUAAAGAGGGUUUUAUAUGCUUGAGGAUUGGGGGGUAUUUUCCUAAUUAACCCUCCAUUUCCUUUGCAUAUUUCAUUUCAACCCUUUUGUUUUUUUUAAUUCGAUUUAAAUUUCAAUUAGCCUUUUAUUUUAUUUUAUUUUAAUUCAUUGGUUCAUUCAUUCAUUUAUUUGUUUGUAUAUGUUAUUCGUUUAUAUAUUUAUGUUAAUUCUUGUACUCAAUUGUUAAUUGUUCCUCCAUUCUUUUAUUUCAUUAUUAUCACCUUAUUACUUGUCAGCUUUUUAUAAUCAUUCAUUUAUUCAUCACCUUUUUCAUAUAUUUUAUAUUAUCGUCAACUUUAAAUAUUUUACAUAUGUUAUUUCUUUUAAAUUUUUAUACGUAUUAAUCAUUUUAAAAUUUUUAUAUACAUCUUUAUAUUUUAAGUUAUUAUGUAUAUAUACGUAUAUAUUAUUUAUCUCAAUAUUCUAUCAUAUUAUCUAGUAGUAUCGUUUUAUAUGAUAAUUGCGUUAAAUUCUCUUUAUUGUUUGUUAUAAACUUUUCUACUAUUAUUAAUUUUAAAAUUUCAUAUGUUAUUUAUAUUAAACUUUUGUAUAUAUCUUUUAUAUGUUAAUGAUUUUAAAUUCUUUUAUUGUUAUUUGUUUUGAACUUUCUAUAUAUUAUUUAUUUUAAAUUUUUAUCUUAAAAUUUUACUUUGUAUUAUAUUUAUAUAUAAAUUUUCAUUUAAACUCUUUUAUACAUUUUUAUUUUAUUAUAUGUAUAUAUAUUAUUUAUAUUAAACUAUUUUUUAUUAUCACUGCUAUUAUUCUUAUUUUUAUACUAUUAUUUUUAUUGAUAACAUUAUUAUUGUUAUAUUUAGUAUUAUUAUUGCUUUUAUCAUAGCUACUACUACUAUUAUUAUAGUUUUUUUUUGUUGCUCUCACAUUUACGUAUUUCUUUUUAUAUAUAAUACAUUGAUUCCAUUUCAUCAUUUUAUUAUUUAUUCGUUUAUACAUUUAUAUAAUUUCAAACUUUGAAUUCUUUGUUACUUUGUAUCAUUAUUUUGUUUCAUACAAUACUUAUUUAUAUUUUUACUAUUGUUGUUAUUUUAUCAUUUUUAUUUAAAUUACAAAUUUGUGUGCAUAUUUUACAUAAUACUUAUUUGUAUUAUUUUUAUUAUCAUCGUUAUUAUCAUUAUUAUUUUAAAAAAUAUAAAAAAAAAAUUCACUUGAUGCUUCUUUAUUCAUAUGUUUAUUUGCUUAUUCUCAAUUUAAAAGUUAAGUUUUCACUAGAAUUUUCUUUAUUAUUUCAUGUAUCAUUGUAUUUAUUUUUAUUUUGUUUUAUUGUCAUCUUACUAUAUAUCUAUUCAUUUAUUCAUAUAUGUCUCUAUAUACCUGCAAGUUUAUGUUAUUCAUUAAUAUUAUUGUAUUUAUAUCAUCUUCGUUAUUAUUUUAUUACGUACAUCAAUAUUGCAAUUUGUUUUCUCAUUUUACCAUAAAAUCAUAAUUACAUUAAUUUUUUUUACCCGACACAUAAAAUUGUGCUUUCUAAAGUAAAACAAUAUUUUGUAUUUGGAAAUUCGGGAAAUCGUGCUCUAACUUAUUGGGUUCUAAUUUUUUCUCGUUUAAUCUAAAUAACAGCAUGUUCUUUUAAAUCAUAAUACGAGUUUUAAAUAAAAUGCUUACUCUCUGAGAUUUGAGGUGUUAUGUCCCAACUCACUGGAUAUAAUAUCUUAUUACCUCGAGAUAAGAUUUUUUGCAAAUAAGGCAAUAUUUCGUGUUUGAAAAUUUCGAGAAAUCGUGCCCUACGUGUUGGGUUUCGAUUUAUCAUUUGACCAAAUAAACGAAUAUCAUUUUUAAAAUUUCAAUGCAUGAGUUUUGAAAAUCAUGAGAUGAUUUUGGGUAUCGAUGGUUGGAAAUGUCGUGUCCUACGUGUUGGAUGUGAUAUUUUACUCCUUCGAAAUAAGAGAACCUUAAUAUCCACUUCAAGUUAGCUAAACAUUCAUAAAAAGGGAUCGUAUUUUAAAAUUUAUUUUAAAUCUUUUUCAAUUUUCGAUAUUAAGACAUUAAUUAAUCAAUUAGGUACCAAUUUUGGGCGUUACGAGGGUGCUAAUCCUUCCUCGUACGUAACCGACUCCCGAACCCGUUGUCUCAAAUUUCGUAGACCAAAAUGUCGUUUUAAUAAAUUAAAAUGUUUUAUUAAAAUAAGGGUGACCCGAUCACACCCAAUACAGAUCGGUGACGACUCCCGUUUUAAUUUUCACUUUCAAAACCAAAGUCGAUUCCCAAUUUUUUUCAAAAAAAUGGUUUCCACAAUUGUGAUUUAGAGGUGUAAAAGUAUACAAGAAAGUUUGAAGAUAAGAAACGGUUCCAAACAGAAAAUAAAGAAGACUCACCAAAAAAAGUAAAAGGAAGAUAAAACUUGAAAGGAGAUGGAUGGGUUUUUUACCCAAUUGGGUUAAAAAAAAUUUUAAAAUACCAAAAUAGGGUGUCAAAUACAUUAUUUACGGAAAUGGUUGUUUUUUUGGGUCGAGCCUACCUGACAGGCGCGACCCAUUUUUUUAAUAAUAUAAUUUUAUUUUUUUGAAAUAUUAUUAUUUUAUUAUAUUUUAAUAAUUUUUAAAUUUUUAAAAUUCAGUCGGGUCAAAAUCGGGUCGAGCCAAACCCGGAGGCGCGGCCAUUCGCUCCUGCAGCAGAGGCGCGACUUCCCUGCAGCCCGCCACGUGUCCCUGCCCCCCACCCCCCCAUCCCACCUGUAGAGACAGAGAGAAAAAAAUUAAAUUUUGUAAUGGGGGACCAUAUAAGCACCGGUCCCCCAAUUUUGUGAAUGCAGCAGCAAAGAGAGAAAAGAAGAAGAAAAAGAAGAAGAAGAAGAAGAAGGAGGAGGAGAAAGAAGAAAAAAAUGUUAGUAAUUUUUUUAUAAUUAUUUUAAGAUUAAAAUGUUAGUAGUUUAGUGUUAUGUGAUAAUUUUUAGUGUUUGUAAUUAUUUUAAAAUUAAAAAAAAGUACAUUUAAAAAAAAGCAAAAUAUUAGUAAUUUAAGAGUGUUAUGUAAUUAUUGUGCUUGAAUAUAGUUUAUUAGUUGCUAAUUUUUGUUUUUGUUUUUAAUACUACUUGUCAAGUCUUGCUUUAUUUGUUUUCUAAUUUAAACUUUUUUUGUUGAAUUUUCAAGUCCAUGAUUUUUGUUUUACUUUUAUCUAACAUCCUAUUUUGGUGUUUUAAUUUUUUUUAGCCUAGUUGGGUAAAAAAUCCCAUUAUUUUGCCAUUGAUGCUCGAUUUUGAUAGCUUGAUGGCAGCCUCCCUUUUAAAUAAAUAUAUAAAAAAAUUAAUAUUUUGCCAGUUAUUGUCCAUUUCCGAAUUUACUUGGAAUCAAUAUUUUUUGUAUUUUAUUUAAAAAAAACUUUACUAGCAUUCACUAGAGGUGAUCAUGGGCCGGGUCGGGCCAGGUUUGGGCCGGGCCCAUACAAAUUUUUAGGCCCGGGCCUGGCCCGGCCCAUAUUAAUUUUUUUAUUUCAUUAAAUAAAAAAAUUUAAAAAUAUAAUAAAUUAAAUAUAUUUAAAAACAUAAAAACAAAUAUUAAAACAAAUAAAAAUAAUACUAAAACAAUUCUUAAAACAAUACACAAAUUAAUAAUAUAAUAAAAAAUGGUUAUAUUAAAAUUUUAAAAUAAUUAAAAAUAAAAAAAAUAUAUUAAUAUAUAAUUCGGGCCGGGCCGGGCCCGGGCCAAAAAACUCUUACCCGAGGCCCGGCCCGUUUUCUAAACGGGCCUCGUUUUUUUGCCCAAGCCCAUUUUUCGGGCCUAUAUUUUUACCCAAACCUUCCCAUUUUUCGGGCGGGCCUUCGGGCCUGGCUGGGCCGCCCAGCCCAUGAUCAGCUCUAGCAUUCACUUCAUUGUUAACAAAAAGUGAGAAAUAUAGUGACUAAUACAUUCUAAAAAAUAAAAUAAAAAUUUAUACCUAUGUAAAAUGUAUAAACUUGAGAGUUAAUCUUUUCAAAUAUUCUUAAAUUAUAAUUUAAUUUAAUUUCAAACUUUUAAAAUUAAUUAAAUUUACCUAUGUAAAGUGUUAAAAAAAUAAUUCUUUUAAAUUUUAUAAAAAUUUAAUCAAAACUUAAGGAAAAAAUAAAAUAUUUUUAAGAGUAAAAUAGUGUUAGAAUUAAGUGACCCAAAUUCUUAUUUAAAUAAAAUACGAUGGAAAAUAAAAUAAAAGUAAAAUCCAUAUAGAACUAGACUUCUUUUAUUUUAUUUUAGAAUAAGGUUUUUUAAACCUUAUUAAACUCCAUCUAUUUUAUAUUGAUUAGGAUAAGGUGUUUCAAUUCUAGUAGAAUAUGGCUUUACAAGCCUAUAAAUAGACAUAGUUUAUUCCUCUUGUAUUGAUUCAAAUUUUCGACAUAGUGAAUUUUCUUUUCCUCUGCCCGUGGUUUUUUUCCCGAAAGGGUUUCCACGUAAAAUUUGUGUGUUCUUUAUUUAUUUUAUUUUAUUUUUCACAAAUUGGUAUCCGAGCUUCCGGGUUAUUCAUCUCGAUCACGGUAAUGGCGUCUUUGAAGUAUGAAAUUCCGCUGUUGGAUCGCAACACCAGAUUUGCGUUGUGGCAAAUUAAUAUACAAGCAGUUCUUGCACAGAUGGAUCUGGAGGAUGCCCUGCUAGGGAUAGAUAAGAUGCAUUCGACAUUAAUAGAUGAAGAGAAGAAGCGUAAGGAUCGAAAGGCAUUAACACAAUUACAUCUGCAUUUGUCCAACAAAAUUUUGCAGGAUGUGAUAAAAGAGAAAACUGCCGCUGCAUUAUGGAAGAGGCUAGAACAAAUAUGUAUGUCGAAAACUCUAACAAGCAAGUUGCAUAUGAAGCAGCGUCUUUAUGCUCAUCGUUUGGAGGAAGGUGCGUCUAUACACGAACACUUAACAGUGUUUAAAGAAAUUCUCUCAAACUUGGAGGCCAUGGAGGUUCAGUAUGAUAAGGAAGGUCUAGGGUUGAUUCUACUUUGUUUGUUGCCCCCGUCUUAUUCAACCUUUAGAGACACGAUUUUAUAUAGCCGCGAGUCUCUCACAGUUGAUGAGGUUUAUGAUUCUUUAACCUCGUAUGAUAAGAUGAAGCAUCUUCUGGUUAAACCCGACUCUCAGGGAGAGGGUCUCAUUGUUCGUGGGAGACAAGAUCGAAAUGCUGAUGAUGAUCGUGGUAGGACACAGGAACGGAAUCCUCGUGGUAAAUCUAAGGGUAGAUCGAAGUCUUCAAACAGAGGUAAAACUUGCAACUUCUGCAAGAAGAAAGGGCACAUUAAACCUGAGUGCUAUAAGCUACAAAAUAAGAUUAAAAGGGAGGCUACGAAUCAAAAGGGAAAACAACCAGAAAAUUCCGGUGAAGCUGAUGUUGUAGAAGACUACAGCGAUGGUGAACUUCUAGUCGCUUCUGUCAAUGAUUCUAAAGUAAGCGAGGAGUGGAUACUUGAUUCAGGCUGCACCUUCCACAUGAGUCCCAAUCGGGAUUGGUUUACAACUUAUGAAACAGUAUUUGAAGGUGUUGUUUUGAUGGGAAAUAAUGCUUCAUGUAAAAUCGCAGGUGUUGGAACAAUUAAAGUUAAGAUGUUUGAUGGAGUUGUCAGAACACUUAGUGACGUGCGGCAUGUUCCAGAAUUGAAAAGAAAUUUAAUUUCGUUGAGUACUCUUGAUUCAAAAGGGUACAGAUACACAGCUGAAAGUGGAGUUUUAAAGAUUUCCAAAGGGUCCCUUGUUGUGAUGAAAGGGCAGAGAAAAAUAUCCAAGUUAUAUGUUUUGCAGGGUUCUACUGUUACUGGUGAUGCAGCUGUCGCUUCCUUUUCCUUGUCAGAUGAUGAUAUUACUAAACUUUGGUAUAUGCGCCUAGGGCAUAUGAGUGAGAAUGGCAUGGCUGAAUUAAGCAAAAAAGGACUUCUUGAUGGGCAAGGAAUUUGCAAACUGAAUUUCUGUGAGCACUGUGUUUUUGGGAAGCAAAAGAGAGUUCGAUUCACUAGAGGAAUCCAUAACACGAAGGAAACGUUGGAGUAUAUUCAUUCUGAUCUGUGGGGGCCAUCUAGAGUGCCUUCGAGAGGUGGAGCUAAUUAUAUGCUAACCUUUAUUGAUGAUUUUUCCAGAAAAGUUUGGGCGUUCUUCCUGAAGCAGAAAAGCGAUGUGUUUUCCACAUUUAAGUCUUGGAAAAUUAUGAUUGAAAAACAGACGGGAAAACAGAUAAAAUACUUCCGUACAGACAAUGGCUUAGAGUUCUGUUCUGAUGAGUUUAAUAGAUUGUGCAAGUCAGAAGGGAUCAUGAAACACUUGAUAGUUCGUCAUACUCCACAGCAAAACGGCGUUGCAGAACGAAUGAACAGAACGAUCAUGGAGAAGGUUUGAUGUAUGUUGUCAAAUGCCUACUUACCGAAGUCAUUUUGGGCAGAAGUAGCCUCUACUGCAUAUUUUUUGAUCAACCGAUCUCCAUCCGUUGCCAUUGAGAAAAAGACUCCACAAGAGGUAUGGUCUGGUAAUCCUGCUACUUAUUCUGAUUUAAAGAUUUUUGGGUGUCCUGCGUAUGCUCAUGUUGAUAAUGAAAAAUUGGAACCGAGAUCCAUUAAAUGCGUUUUUCUUGGUUAUAAAGCUGGUGUAAAAGGCUAUAAGUUAUGAUGUCCUGAAAAUAGAAAAGUUGUGAUUAGCAGAGAUGUUGUUUUUGAUGAAACUGCUAUGCUACCUAACUUAUCUGUUAAAGACUCUUCCAAUAAAGAAAACCAAAAGCAGGUGGAGCAUCAGAUUAAUACAGAAUCAACUCCUCAAGCCAGUACAAAAAUUGAGAAUAGAGUUGCUUCUUCACCGCAAUACUCUAUCGCCAAAAAUAGAACAAGAAGAGAAAUUAAACCUCCAAAGAAGUAUGCCGAGGCUGAUCUAGUUGCUUAUGCUUUAAAUGUGGCUGAAGAUAUAGAUGCGAAUCAAGAGCCAUUUAAUUAUUCUGAGGCGAUUAGCUGUGAAGACUCAGAAAAGUAGAUGUUUGCAAUGCAAGAGGAGAUGGAAUCACUCCACAAAAACGGAACAUGGGAUCUUGUAAAACUUCCUAAAAGUAAAAAGGCUGUUCGUUGUAAAUGGGUGUUUAAAAAGAAAGAAGGGACUCCAGGAGUUGAAGAACCCAGAUAUAAAGCAAGGCUUGUUGCAAAGGGUUACAGUCAAAUUCCAAGAGUGGACUUCACAGAUGUGUUCUCCCCAGUUGUUAAGCAUAGUUCGAUUCGAGCUUUGCUUGGUAUUGUGGCCAUGCAUGAUUUUGAGCUUGAGCAGUUAGAUGUAAAAACUGCAUUUCUGCAUGGAGAACUUGAGGAGGAUAUUUACAUGCAACAACCAGAGGGUUUUACAGUCUCAGAAAAAGAGGACUAUGUUUGCUUGCUGAAAAAGUCCAUUUACGGUUUGAAACAGUCACCAAGACAGUGGUACAAGAGGUUUGAUUCCUUUAUGACUUCUCAUGAUUUCAAAAGAAGUAGUUUUGACAGUUGUGUCUACUUUAAGAAAAACAGUGAUGGUUCUUUUGUGUAUCUACUUCUUUAUGUUGAUGACAUGUUGAUAGCAACAAAAAAUAAAGUAGAGAUAAGAAAGGUCAAAGCCCAACUAAGUGAAGAAUUUGAGAUGAAAGAUUUAGGACCAGCAAAGAAGAUACUUGGUAUGGAGAUCCUUAGAGAUAGAAAAGCAAGUAAAUUGUACCUAAGUCAGAAAGGGUACAUUGAGAAAGUUCUUUGCAGGUUCAAUAUGCAGAGUGCUAAGCCUGUUAGUACUCCAUUAGCAGUUCAUUUCAGACUUUCAUCAGCUUUGUCUCCACAAUCAGAUGAUGAGAUUGAGUACAUGUCACAUGUUCCAUACUCUAGUGCAGUAGGAUCUCUCAUGUAUGCUAUGGUUUGUUCACGUCCAGAUUUAUCAUAUGCAGUCAGUGCAGUUAGCAGAUACAUGGCGAAUCCUGGUAAAGAAUACUGGAAAGCAGUUCAGUGGAUUUUAAGAUACUUACGAGGUACUACUGAUGUUUGCUUACAGUUUGGAAGAACUAGAGAUGGAGUCAUUGGGUAUGUUGAUGCUGAUUUUGCUGGAGACCUUGAUAGAAGAAGAUCUCUCACAGGUUAUGUCUUUACAAUCGGAGGUUGUGCAAUCAGUUGGAAAGCGAGAAGCCACUUUGCAAACUACAGUCGCUUUGUCUACCACUGAAGCUGAGUACAUGGCGAUUACUGAGGCUUGUAAAGAAGCUGUUUGGUUGAAGGGACUCUUUAGUGAAAUUAAUGAAGACCUUCAAAUCAGUACAGUAUUUUGUGAUAGUCAGAGUGCCAUCUUUCUUACAAAAGAUCAAAUGUUUCAUGAGAGAACAAAACACAUUGAUGUUCGGUAUCAUUUUGUUCGUGAUAUUAUUGCUCGUGGUGAUAUUGUUGUGAGCAAAAUUAGUACUCAUGAAAAUCCUGCAGAUAUGAUGACUAAGUCACUUCCUAUAACCAAGUUUGAGCAUUGCUUAGACUUGGUUGGUGUUCAUUGUUGAAGUUAAACCCUUAAGGGGUUUUAUGGAAGAGGUGGAGAACUUGUUUAUUGAAAGUUCGCGAUGAAGAACUUGUUCAUUAAGAAUUUGUGUCAAGGUGGAGAUUGUUAGAAUUAAGUGACCCAAAUUCUUAUUUAAAUAAAAUACGAUGGAAAAUAAAAUAAAAGUAAAAUCCAUAUAGAACUAGACUUCUUUUAUUUUAUUUUAGAAUAAAGUUUUUUAAACCUUAUUAAACUCCAUCUAUUUUAUAUUGAUUAGGAUAAGGUGUUUCAAUCCUACUAGAAUAUGGCUUUACAAGCCUAUAAAUAGACAUAGUCUAUUCCUCUUGUAUUGAUUCAAAUUUUCGACAUAGUGAAUUUUCUUUUCCUCUGCUCGUGGUUUUUUUCCCGAAAAGGUUUCCACGUAAAAUUUGUGUGUUCUUUAUUUUAUUUUAUUUAUUUUAUUUUAUUUUUCACAAAUAGACUAUUAAUAAAUUAUGCUUAUAUUUUAACUUGUAUAAAACACAUAACAAGAGAAAUAAUAUAUAUUAAAGAAUUAAACACAUUAAUAUAAAUGAUAUGUUAAAAUGCAUUUGGCUUUAUGAUUGGAAGUAAUGUAGUACUUUGCGGUUGAAUAGAUGCAUAAUUGACUAGUUGAAAGUGAGUAUAUGAGAAAUAAGUUACUUUGAAUAUGGAAAGAUGUUGAAUAAACGAUCUAAAGAGAGUAAGAAAUAAAAUUAAAUAAUUCUGAAGAGAGUAAGAAAUUUUAAUGUAAUUUUGAUAUAAUGUAAAUUUAUAAUUUUUAUUUAUUUGAUAAUUUUAAUUGCAAAUUUGCAGCAAAUGGGUUCGUUGAUUGAUAAUGAAAAUAAGGGUCACAUAUUGAGUAACAUUAAUGAAAUGGUAAUGAAAAUUUUAUUUGAUAGUCACAUUAUUUGUUGAAUGAAAUUAUAUUGUAUUAACCAUUUCAUAAAUAUAAUAAUGUCAGGUCGAGUACCGCGUAUUGAGGGGUCGUAUUUAUAAUGUAGGGUUUCAGCCUGAUGAAUGCGUAAUACCGUUCUUAGAGUUAGCAGGGUUCGGAUCAGCAGCAUUGAUCCGGACUUUUGAUUUGCGAUAUGACUUAAUUUCUGCUUUAGUUGAGCGAUGGCGUCCGGAGACGCACACAUUUCAUUUGCCAUGCGGGGAGUGCACCAUAACUUUAGAGGACGUUGCAGUACAGCUGGGGCUCCCCAUCGACGGGAACGUGGUCACGGGCGUAAGUUCGAUCUCGAGGCCGGCUCGCCUUUGCUACGAGUUACUUGGACGCUCCCCAAGUGAGGGGAAAUUUGCCACAUUGCGGGCCGGGGGGUGGGGGGCAGGGACACGUGGCGGGCUGCAGGGAAGUCGCGCCUCUGUAGCAGGAGCGAAUGGUCGCGCCUCCGGGUUUGGCUCGACCCGGUUUUGACCCGACUGAAUUUUAAAAAUUUAAAAAUUAUUAAAAUAUAAUAAUAAUAUUUAAAAUUUAAAAUAAUAAUAUUUAAAAAAAAUAAAAUUAUAUUAUUAAAAAAAUGGGUCGCGCCUGUCAGGUAGGCUCGACCCAAAAAAACAACCCAUUUCCGUAAAUAAUGUAUCUGACACCCUAUUUUGGUAUUUUAAAAUUUUUUUUAACCCAAUUGGGUAAAAAACCCGAGAUGGAUACAUUUAUAUUAUCUCGUAAUUUUUUAUAUUGACAAUCUCAUCAUUAAAUUUGUUAAUAUUUAAUUUAAAUGAAUCUCUCUUCAAUUUUAAAGAUUAAAAUAUGAAAAAAGAAUUUAAAGGAAAUUAUUUUUAAAAAAUAAUAAUAUAAAUUUUGAAAUUUAGGUGGUCUAUUUAUUAUGCCACCUUGAAUUGUGAGAAGCAUAUCGUGGAAGAUAACUGUCAAGGGUCAAUUAUCUUUUUUUGUUUAAAGAAUAUCUAAUUUAUUUUAAAUAGUACUAUAAUGAGUUUUUUUUUUUGUGGGUCAAUUGGACUGUCGGUCGAAGUGACAAAAAAAUAUAAAGGGCUAAUUUCAUUAUUUUGCCUUUUUUUUCUCUCUAAAAUCACCCAGAUUUAUAAUAAAAAAUUAUUCACUAAACAAUUUUUUGAAUAAAUCUCACUAUACAAAAUUAAAAUCUGGGGACACUACUUUGAAUAUAUUUUAUUUAGAUUAAAUUUUAUAUAUAAAUAAAAUUUCCAAAACAAACAUGUAUGUUAUUAAUUUGAAGUUAAAAUAAAAUAUGUUUUAUUAGAAAUCAAACACUAACUGUAAUUCUGAGAAUUUGGUUUGCUGUUAAUACAUAAUUUUAACAUAUCAAAAGAAAUCUAAACAAACAAAUUGAUACAUAAUUUUACUACAUCAGAAUAAAUCUAAACAAACUAUCCUAAAGAGUUUAGAUAAAAGUUAAAACUUCUAAAAUUAGAAAUAUUCCAUGAAUUACACUCAUCAUAUUUCUCUUAUAAAUUUACCAACUCUUAAACAUACUACACACAAAUUUUCUAGCAACCUAUUGACUAAGGUUUAUUUUUCUCUUCAUUUUCCCGUUUGCUUCUACUAUUUUAUAUUUUUUUAUUCUUUUAGUUUAGAAAUGAAACUUAAUUCAUUCAAGUAUUCAUUAACUUUUCUUUUCCCCUUGUACUUUGGCUUUGAUUUUGCAGGGAUCGAUUUGAUCAACAAAAACAUGGGAAAAACAUCAGUCCUUUUAGUGGGAUUUCUUUUCAGUUUCUUGGUCGUCACGGUACAAGCAGGAGAUAAGUACAAGAAAUAUAAUGACCCCAGUCUGCCGAUCAACAAGCGGAUUCGGGACCUGAUGCGACUGAUGAGUCUCGAUGAAAAGAUUGGUCAGAUGGUGCAAAUUGAUCGUAAAGUAGCCACUCCGGAGGUCAUGAGGGACUACAAAAUAGGCAGCAUUUUAAGUGGAGGAGGAAGCGUACCGCAUCUUCAAGCCACCCCACAGGAAUGGCUCAACAUGGUUAAUGGUUUCCAAAAUGGUUCACUCUCAACCAGGCUUGGGAUUCCAAUGAUUUAUGGCAUUGAUGCUGUCCAUGGACAUAACAAUGUCUAUAAGGCCACCAUAUUUCCUCAUAACAUUGGCCUUGGUGCUACAAGGUAAGACCGUUUUUUUUUCAGUUUCGUCCACUGCUAGUUAAGCUUUCUUCAAAGUUUUGAAAGAAAAUUACAGUAUUUUGUGACUAUGUGAUUAAAUCUCCGAUGUUAUAGGGAUCCUGAGCUUGUAAAGAGGAUUGGGUCUGCAACAGCUCGUGAAGUUAGAGCUACUGGCAUAAACUACGUUUUCGCACCCUGCAUUGCGGUAAUGAAGUAUUCGAUCAUCAGUCCGAUUUAAUUGUUUUUAUAGAGAAAUGUAUUCCAAUAACUUCAACGUCUACAAAAUUGAAGGUUUGCCGAGACCCGAGAUGGGGUCGAUGUUUUGAGAGCUACAGCGAAGAUCCUGACAUCGUCAAGGAAAUGACAGAAAUCAUUAAUGGAUUGCAAGGGGAAAUUCCAAAGGAUUCGCGUAAGGGUGUUCCUUAUGUUGGUGGAAAGUAAGUUAGUUAACUGCCAAUACACAAAUAUGGUUUUAUUUAUCAGUUUCAAGGAACUGAAACCAGUUUUGGGUUUUUGUUGUAUGGAAAAAGGGAUAAGGUGGUAGCAUGUGCCAAGCACUUCGUUGGAGAUGGUGGGACAACAAGGGGCAUCAAUGAAAACAACACAGUGAUCGAUAAGCAUGGAUUGCUUAGCAUUCACAUGCCAGGUUAUAACGCAGCCAUCAUUAAGGGAGUUGGGACAGUUAUGGUUUCUUACUCUAGUUGGAAUGGAGUGAAAAUGCAUGCUAAUCAUGAUCUUGUCACCAAUUUCCUCAAGGGCGCCCUUAGGUUCAGGGUAAAUUUGACUGCAACUCUUUAAAUUAAAAAGAAACCUGCAAGAGAAAUAUAUAAACAUUGUUUAUGACCUUUGCAUUUAAAUAUGUUCAAAUUUGCAGGGAUUUGUCAUCUCUGAUUGGCAGGCAAUUGAUAGGAUGACAUAUCCUGUGCAUGCCAACUAUACAUAUUCAGUUCUUACUGGUGUUCAAGCAGGUCUUGACAUGGUGAGUGGUUUUGACGAUUUAGAGUCCAACCAACCUCGACUUUGGAUUAAUUGUCAUCUAAUUUGAAACUUGUCUUCCACUUGUUUUGCAGAUUAUGGUUCCUUACAAUUAUACUGAGUUUAUUGAUACUUUGACUGGACUUGUGAAGAACAAAUUCAUCCCCAUGAAUCGUAUUGAUGAUGCUGUUAGAAGAAUUUUAAGAGUCAAAUUCCAACUUGGUUUAUUCGAAAACCCCUUAUCUGAUGAAAGCUUUAUUGAUCAGCUAGGACAUCAGGUUAUUGACCAUAUAUUCUUUUAACAUUUAAGACAAGCUUCCUAGUAUGCCAAGAUUUACCUGUUUGGUUUCUGUUACAGGCUCACAGAGAUUUGGCAAGGGAAGCUGUAAGAAAGUCGCUUGUUUUGUUGAAAAAUGGAGAAAAUGCUGAUGAGCCAAUGCUACCUCUUCCCAAGAAGUCAUCCAAGAUCCUGGUUGCCGGCAGCCAUGCUGAUGACUUGGGCAAUCAAUGCGGCGGUUGGACCAUCAACUGGCAAGGCGGUAGCGGAAACAAUUUAACUUCUGGUAAUAAACCAUUGUUGUCUCUUAAAACAUAGCUUUUAACAAAGUUACAGUCAUCAGACUACACUUAUUAACGCCUUUCAAAUCAACAGGAACCACCAUCCUGAAAGGAAUAGCAGAAGCCGUUGAUCCAAGCACAGAGAUUGUGUAUGAAGAAAACCCAGAAUUUGAUUAUGUCAAAUCCAACAACUUCUCCUACGGUAUUGUCGUUGUUGGUGAGCCUCCAUAUGCUGAAACAAACGGUGAUAAUUUGAACUUGACGAUCCCAUUACAAGGUCAAUAUACUCUUUACAAUGUCUGCGCCAAUAUCAAGUGUGUGGUGGUUUUAAUCUCUGGAAGACCACUUGUUAUAAUGCCUCAUUUAGAACAAGUUGAUGCACUGGUUGCUGCAUGGCUGCCGGGCACAGAAGGCAAAGGUGUGGCUGAUGUUCUAUUUGGAGACUAUGGUUUUAGUGGGAAACUGCCUCGGACUUGGUUCAAGACGGCUGAGCAGCUGCCAAUGAAUGUUGGGGAUUUGAACUACGACCCUUUGUAUCCCUUUGGUUAUGGGCUCACUACUCAACCUCUCAACGCCACAAGUUAGUUUCAGAGAGUCGAGUUGUCUUUUUGUCUUAAUGCUAAGUAGUUUUUUUGGUUCUUUUUGAAGAUUUAGCUGUCUUUUUAUGGAAUUAUUAGCAAAAUAAUGGUAGCAGUAAUCUUGUGUUAGAGUUUCGUAAAUAGGAUCCAAACUUCUUGAGCUGCCUAUUUGGUGUAAUUUUGUUUGUUGAAAAUAAAAAUGUGGUGCUUUUGAAGAAAAAGAAUUUAGUUUCUGAUUAAUGGGGUUUAUAAGAUAUUGAAGUGAAAUUAAAUUUUGUAGGAUAACAUGGAUUGAGGUAACAUUGUUUAUUAUUUAUUUUAAUUUUUAUGUUGAUCAUGAAAUUACAAUAAUUCAAUUUACACAUAAAUUAGAAUUGACAUAAAUUUAUCCGGUUCAAGCUUUAAACUUUUGAAUAGCCUUUAAAUUUAUAAAUGAUUAUUUUAAAUUAUUUAGUUAUUACAAAUUAGUUUUUUAGAAAAGUAAAAAAAUAAAAAUAAGUUUACAAAUUUACAAGUGAAAUGAUUUAAUUUCUUAAAAAGCAUGUGUCAUCUUAUAAAUUUGUGAAAUCUACUAAUUUAGCUGCCAUAAUCAUAUAUUUUUUAAAACGUUUACAGUAAUGACAAAUGAUCAUUGGAAAAUAGAUGCAAAGCAAGUCCACAAUCAUCUAUAUAAAUUCUACAUAUAUUAAAGAAAUUGAAAAUAUAAUACUAAAAAAUCAGGACAUAAAAAUUUAGAAGAUUUUUAGAAAUUGCCAAGAUACAAAAAUCAGUAUAGAAUUUAUAAUUGAGUUUUAAUUUAAUUGACAUUAACAUUGUUAUCAGCAUAGAAAUAUAAAAAGCAUUUAUCCUCUAAUUGAAGGAUUGAAGAAGGAUUAUGAAUAAUUUUAAGAACUUAAAUGGACAUAACUAUUUUCACAUAUUGAAGUUUACUUGAAAUAUAUAUGAAAAAUAUUUUGAAAUCCUACCGGACCUAACCCAGCCUACAAAUUAAUUUAUUUAAAAACAUAACAUAAACAUAUACUUUAUAUGCAUCUUUGAAAAAAAAAUUAAAGACACAUUUUUUGAAGUUCAAAAUAAAGAAUAAGGUAAAUUAUCGAUAAAAAAACAAUCAUAUAAAUUAUAAUAAAUCUUUAAUAGUAAUAUAAUAAGUCUCUAAUAGUAAACACAUAAAGGAAAGGAGGAAAAUUCUUUCCGUUCUUUUUGUUUAUUUCUUUUGUCUCUAUGUUAUCCUUUCAUUUUCGUUUGAAGGAUACUUGUUGAAUACAUAAGUAGGCGCAUUUACAGUGCUUGCCAUGCAUCUUGAUUUUAUAGGUGUCCCGUAAGAAAUGAAGUCCUUCUUAAAUAAAUCGUUUUUGACUAAUGUCUGUCAGCAAAUAUUACAAUAUUUUUAAUCAAAAUAUGGUCCAUAAUUUUUAUAGACAAUAUUUUUUGCAAACCCAUAUUUUAGACUUAAAAAUUUUGUCCAACUUAAUAGGAUAUGCCUCCAAGCCCUUAAAGACUCCUAAAAGCC
RNAcentral lists this long non-coding RNA (16901 nucleotides) under Gossypium barbadense (sea-island cotton). RNAcentral describes it as "long non-coding RNA (GBAR_LNC003667)". Lineage: Eukaryota; Viridiplantae; Streptophyta; Magnoliopsida; Malvales; Malvaceae. The record is from RNAcentral.